RNAcentral lists this long non-coding RNA (1173 nucleotides) under Canis lupus familiaris (dog). RNAcentral describes it as "lncRNA (ENSCAFG00030023647.1)". The record is from RNAcentral. Lineage: Eukaryota; Metazoa; Chordata; Mammalia; Carnivora; Canidae.
AUGCGCGAGCACUUGUGCUGCGCCAGCGCGAACGGGUCGGCGUACUCCUCCUUGCAGAGCUGGCAGAUGAACUCGCCCAGCGGCCGCGCGGCGCCCCCCGUCCGGCCCCGCUGGCGCCUCCACCGGGCCCUCCUUGAUCUUGAGCCCGAGCACAGGCGACGUGGUCACCUCGUCCUCGAAGUGCAGCUUGCGGAUGGCCUUGGGCUUCUUGGCGCCCGGGGCCUUGGCCACCUUGGCGGGCGGCUCGGCGGCGGCGGCGGCGGCGGCGGCGGGGGGCGCGGGCCGCUUGCCCGGGGGCCGCAGGGAGGCGGCGGGGGGCAGCGGCGGGCCGGGCCCGGGGCCGCGGGCCGCUUCGGCGCCCGCGGAGAACGCGGUGCCCAUCUUGAGCUCGGCGGGCGCGAAGAGCAGCGGGUCGCCGCCGCAGGUGCCGCCGCCGCAGGUGCCGCCGCCGCCCGGGCCGUUCGCGCCGCCGCCAACGCCGCCGCCUCCGAGCAGGGCGGCGGGCGUGGGGAAGGACUCGGCCGAGACCGGCGACCCGAGGUUGAAGCUGCGCUCGAAGUACUUGUGCUUCUCGUGCUCGCGGCUCACGGGCCGCGUGGGGCUGUAGAGCGGCGCCGGGUGCGCGGCCUCGGGGUUGCCGAAGUGCGCGGCCCGCGGGCCCGGCGGGGGCGGGGGCGGGGGCGGGGGCGGCGGGCCCGGCGCGCAGGCGAGCGCGGCAGCGAGCACCGCAUGGGCGCGCUCGGCGGGCGGCGGCGGCGGCGGCGGCGGCGGAGGCGGCGGCAGCGGGCCCGGCCCCGGCCCCGGCCCCGGCCCCGGCCCCGGGCUCGGCGCGGGGGGCUCGGCGCGGGCGCCCCCGCAGCCCGGCGACAGCAGCGGCGCGCGGUCGCCGUCCUCGCCGCCGCGGACCCGGUAGGACACGGGCGUGGACUUCUUGCUGCGCUUCACCAGGAAGCCGCGGGGCAUGUUGGCGCGGCGCGAGGGCGAGGCGCUGGCUCGGUCCCCCCUCGGCGCUCGGCCCCGGCGGCCCUCAGUGGCCCCGGCCCAUGGCCCGGGCGCGGCGGCUGCGGGACUCGCGUGGCGGUGGCGGUGGCGGUGGCGCUGGCGCGGCUCGGCCCGGCUCUGCGCCCUGCACGCGCGUCCCAGUCCCCGGGCCCGGGCGCCGCUCCCUUUUAA